ACCACUUCGGUGGGGAUUAGUGGCGAACGGGUGAGUAACACGUGGGCAAUCUGCCCUUCACUCUGGGACAAGCCCUGGAAACGGGGUCUAAUACCGGAUAUCACUUCCGCAGGCAUCUGCGGGGGUCGAAAGCUCCGGCGGUGAAGGAUGAGCCCGCGGCCUAUCAGCUUGUUGGUGAGGUAACGGCUCACCAAGGCGACGACGGGUAGCCGGCCUGAGAGGGCGACCGGCCACACUGGGACUGAGACACGGCCCAGACUCCUACGGGAGGCAGCAGUGGGGAAUAUUGCACAAUGGGCGAAAGCCUGAUGCAGCGACGCCGCGUGAGGGAUGACGGCCUUCGGGUUGUAAACCUCUUUCAGCAGGGAAGAAGCGAAAGUGACGGUACCUGCAGAAGAAGCGCCGGCUAACUACGUGCCAGCAGCCGCGGUAAUACGUAGGGCGCAAGCGUUGUCCGGAAUUAUUGGGCGUAAAGAGCUCGUAGGCGGCUUGUCACGUCGGGUGUGAAAGCCCGGGGCUUAACCCCGGGUCUGCAUUCGAUACGGGCUAGCUAGAGUGUGGUAGGGGAGAUCGGAAUUCCUGGUGUAGCGGUGAAAUGCGCAGAUAUCAGGAGGAACACCGGUGGCGAAGGCGGAUCUCUGGGCCAUUACUGACGCUGAGGAGCGAAAGCGUGGGGAGCGAACAGGAUUAGAUACCCUGGUAGUCCACGCCGUAAACGGUGGGAACUAGGUGUUGGCGACAUUCCACGUCGUCGGUGCCGCAGCUAACGCAUUAAGUUCCCCGCCUGGGGAGUACGGCCGCAAGGCUAAAACUCAAAGGAAUUG
RNAcentral lists this ribosomal RNA (824 nucleotides) under Streptomyces bungoensis. Its description in RNAcentral is "bacterial SSU rRNA". It matches the Rfam family "Bacterial small subunit ribosomal RNA", at positions 74 to 912 of the family's 1533-position model. The record is from RNAcentral. Lineage: Bacteria; Bacillati; Actinomycetota; Actinomycetes; Kitasatosporales; Streptomycetaceae.